UACAGAGGGUGCAAGCGUUAAUCGAAAUUACUGGGCGUAAAGGGUGCGUAGGGGGUUUGAUAAGUUAGAUGUGAAAUUCCUGGGCUCAACCUGGGGACUGCGUCUGAUACUGUCAGGCUAGAGUUCUGUAGAGGAAGGUGGAAUUUCCGGAGUAGCGGUGAAAUGCGUAGAUAUCGGAAGGAACAUCGGUGGCGAAAGCGGCCUUCUGGACAGGAACUGACACUGAGGCACGAAAGCGUGGGGAGCAAACAGG
This 253-nucleotide ribosomal RNA is filed under the name uncultured bacterium. RNAcentral's name for it is "partial 16S ribosomal RNA". It matches the Rfam family "Bacterial small subunit ribosomal RNA", at positions 524 to 776 of the family's 1533-position model. The record is from RNAcentral.